This 254-nucleotide ribosomal RNA is filed under the name uncultured bacterium. Its description in RNAcentral is "partial 16S ribosomal RNA". It matches the Rfam family "Bacterial small subunit ribosomal RNA", at positions 524 to 776 of the family's 1533-position model. The record is from RNAcentral.
UACGGGGGGAGCAAGCGUUGUUCGGAUUUACUGGGCGUAAAGGGCGGGUAGGCGGCCACCGCAAGUCAGUUGUGAAAUCUCCGGGCUUAACCCGGAAAGGUCAACUGAUACUGCGGGGCUAGAGUGCAGAAGGGGCAACUGGAAUUCUCGGUGUAGCGGUGAAAUGCGUAGAUAUCGAGAGGAACACCUGCGGCGAAGGCGGGUUGCUGGGCUGACACUGACGCUGAACUGCGAAAGCUAGGGGAGCAAACGGG